GGACGAACGCUGGCGGCGCGCCUAACACAUGCAAGUCGAACGAGCGAGAGAGAGCUUGCUUUCUCGAGCGAGUGGCGAACGGGUGAGUAACGCGUGAGGAACCUGCCUCAAAGAGGGGGACAACAGUUGGAAACGACUGCUAAUACCGCAUAAGCCCACGGCUCGGCAUCGAGCAGAGGGAAAAGGAGCGAUCCGCUUUGAGAUGGCCUCGCGUCCGAUUAGCUAGUUGGUGAGGUAACGGCCCACCAAGGCGACGAUCGGUAGCCGGACUGAGAGGUUGAACGGCCACAUUGGGACUGAGACACGGCCCAGACUCCUACGGGAGGCAGCAGUGGGGAAUAUUGCACAAUGGGGGAAACCCUGAUGCAGCGACGCCGCGUGGAGGAAGAAGGUCUUCGGAUUGUAAACUCCUGUUGUUGAGGAAGAUAAUGACGGUACUCAACAAGGAAGUGACGGCUAACUACGUG
Molecule: ribosomal RNA, 467 nt
Filed under: uncultured bacterium
Lineage: Bacteria
Description: bacterial SSU rRNA
Rfam family: Bacterial small subunit ribosomal RNA
Source: RNAcentral